ACGGAAGGCAGCAGUGGGGGAUAUUGCACAAUGGGGGAAACCCUGGUGCAGCGACGCCGCGUGAGUGAAGAAGUAUUUCGGUAUGUAAAGCUCUAUCAGCAGGGAAGAAAAUGACGGUACCUGACUAAGAAGCUCCGGCUAAAUACGUGCCAGCAGCCGCGGUAAUACGUAUGGAGCAAGCGUUAUCCGGAUUUACUGGGUGUAAAGGGAGCGUAGACGGCGAGGCAAGUCUGAUGUGAAAGCUAUGGGCUCAACCCAUAAACUGCAUUGGAAACUGUCUUGCUUGAGUGUCGGAGAGGUAAGCGGAAUUCCUAGUGUAGCGGUGAAAUGCGUAGAUAUUAGGAGGAACACCAGUGGCGAAGGCGGCUUACUGGACGAUAACUGACGUUGAGGCUCGAAAGCGUGGGGAGCAAACAGGAUUAGAUACCCUGGUA
Molecule: ribosomal RNA, 434 nt
Filed under: uncultured bacterium
Lineage: Bacteria
Description: partial 16S ribosomal RNA
Rfam family: Bacterial small subunit ribosomal RNA
Source: RNAcentral